GGAGUUAGCCGGUGCUUCUUCUGUGAGUGAUGUCCUUCCUGCCGGCUAUUAACCCGCAGGCCUUCUUCCUCACUGAAAGUGCUUUACAACCCGAAGGCCUUCUUCACACACGCGGCAUGGCUGGAUCAGGGUUGCCCCCAUUGUCCAAUAUUUCCCACUGCUGCCUCCCGUAGGAGUCUGGGCCGUGUCUCAGUCCCAGUGUGGCUGAUCAUCCUCUCAGACCAGCUACGGAUCGUCGCCUUGGUGAGCCGUUACCUCACCAACCAGCUAAUCCGACAUAGGCUCAUCCGAUAGCGCGAGGCCCGAAGGUCCCCCGCUUUCCCCCGUAGGGCGUAUGCGGUAUUAGCCUGGGUUUCCCCAGGUUAUCCCCCACUACCGGGCAGAUUCCUAUGCAUUACUCACCCGUCCGCCGCUCGCCACCAGGGAGCAAGCUCCCCGUGCUGCCGCUCGACUUGCAUGUGUUAGGCCUGCCGCCAGCGUUCAAUCUGAGCCAGAAUCAAACUCUGA
RNAcentral lists this ribosomal RNA (507 nucleotides) under uncultured bacterium. Its description in RNAcentral is "partial 16S ribosomal RNA". The record is from RNAcentral.